RNAcentral lists this transfer RNA (69 nucleotides) under Asterorhombus intermedius (intermediate flounder). RNAcentral describes it as "tRNA-Ala". It matches the Rfam family "tRNA". From Rfam's summary of the family: Transfer RNA (tRNA) molecules are approximately 80 nucleotides in length. The record is from RNAcentral. Lineage: Eukaryota; Metazoa; Chordata; Actinopteri; Pleuronectiformes; Bothidae.
UAAAGCCUUAGCUUAGUUAAAGCACCUGUUUUGCAAGCAGGAGAUGUAGGUUAAUGUCCUGCAGGUUUU